RNAcentral lists this ribosomal RNA (227 nucleotides) under uncultured Bacteroides sp. RNAcentral's name for it is "partial 16S ribosomal RNA". It matches the Rfam family "Bacterial small subunit ribosomal RNA", at positions 383 to 607 of the family's 1533-position model. Lineage: Bacteria; Pseudomonadati; Bacteroidota; Bacteroidia; Bacteroidales; Bacteroidaceae. The record is from RNAcentral.
CUGAACCAGCCAAGUAGCGUGAAGGAUGACUGCCCUAUGGGUUGUAAACUUCUUUUAUACGGGAAUAAACGAAUCCACGCGUGGAUUUUUGCAUGUACCGUAUGAAUAAGGAUCGGCUAACUCCGUGCCAGCAGCCGCGGUAAUACGGAGGAUCCGAGCGUUAUCCGGAUUUAUUGGGUUUAAAGGGAGCGUAGAUGGGUUGUUAAGUCAGUUGUGAAAGUUUGCGG